This 253-nucleotide ribosomal RNA is filed under the name uncultured bacterium. Its description in RNAcentral is "partial 16S ribosomal RNA". It matches the Rfam family "Bacterial small subunit ribosomal RNA", at positions 524 to 776 of the family's 1533-position model. The record is from RNAcentral.
UACGAAGGGGGCUAGCGUUGCUCGGAAUCACUGGGCGUAAAGCGCACGUAGGCGGCUUUUUAAGUCAGGGGUGAAAUCCUGGAGCUCAACUCCAGAACUGCCUUUGAUACUGAGAGGCUCGAGUCCGGGAGAGGUGAGUGGAACUGCGAGUGUAGAGGUGAAAUUCGUAGAUAUUCGCAAGAACACCAGUGGCGAAGGCGGCUCACUGGCCCGGUACUGACGCUGAGACACGAAAGCCAGGGGAGCGAACGGG